Molecule: long non-coding RNA, 333 nt
Organism: Papaver somniferum (opium poppy)
Lineage: Eukaryota; Viridiplantae; Streptophyta; Magnoliopsida; Ranunculales; Papaveraceae
Exons: 2
Source: RefSeq, a predicted model, not a curated record
AUCCGAGACCCAAAUGGAGAAAUGGAUGGGUGCUUGUGACUGCAUUAUAACCAAAGCUGGACUUGGAACAAUUGCGGAGGCCUUGAUAAGGGGCCUUCCAAUCAUGAAGCAAUGGCUAGGCAGUUGUAUUGCAGGCUCUGGUGUUGUGUUGGUGCAGUCGGUGUGUCUAAGGGCUAGAAAGGUUUUACUAAAACAAAAGUGUUGUUAGAUUUUUAAUUUUUUUUGGUGUUGAAGUUCUGUAAAACUGAUCUUAUGUAGUAACAAACAACAGAUCUUGUCUUUUUUUUAAGAAAUGAUGUAAAUGAUCUAUGUGAUAUCAUAAAACUUGAUUCA